Long non-coding RNA from Crotalus tigris (Tiger rattlesnake), 245 nucleotides. RefSeq lists it as uncharacterized. The record is from RefSeq and is a predicted model, not a curated record. The transcript is spliced from 5 exons. NCBI's taxonomy places the organism in Eukaryota, Metazoa, Chordata, Lepidosauria, Squamata, Viperidae.
GGGUGAUCCUGGACAACGGGGAGAAAAGGGUGAUGCUGGAGAAAGUGGACCCAAAGGUCACUCUGGAGAAAAGGGUGAUCCUGGAUCUUCUGCUGCGGGAAUUAAGGGGGAACCUGGACAAUCGGGUAGACCAGGACAAAAGGGUGAACCUGGACUUCCUGGACUUCCUGGGUUACCUGGAAUUAAGGUAAAUAUACAUGUUUUAUCUAUAUCAGUGCUGGCAAGAGAAUUGUAGGAAUUGCAAU